This 253-nucleotide ribosomal RNA is filed under the name uncultured bacterium. RNAcentral describes it as "partial 16S ribosomal RNA". It matches the Rfam family "Bacterial small subunit ribosomal RNA", at positions 524 to 776 of the family's 1533-position model. The record is from RNAcentral. RNAcentral also lists the same sequence under 1 other name.
UACAGAGGGUGCAAGCGUUAAUCGGAAUUACUGGGCGUAAAGCGCGCGUAGGUGGUUCGUUAAGUUGGAUGUGAAAUCCCCGGGCUCAACCUGGGAACUGCAUCCAAAACUGGCGAGCUAGAGUAUGGUAGAGGGUGGUGGAAUUUCCUGUGUAGCGGUGAAAUGCGUAGAUAUAGGAAGGAACACCAGUGGCGAAGGCGACCACCUGGACUGAUACUGACACUGAGGUGCGAAAGCGUGGGGAGCAAACAGG